This is a long non-coding RNA of Oncorhynchus masou masou (cherry salmon), 2341 nucleotides long. RefSeq lists it as uncharacterized. The transcript has 5 exons. NCBI's taxonomy places the organism in Eukaryota, Metazoa, Chordata, Actinopteri, Salmoniformes, Salmonidae. The record is from RefSeq and is a predicted model, not a curated record.
UCUUCCUUGCUGAGCAGCCUUUCAGGUUAUGUCGCUAUAGGACUCAUUUUACUGUGGAUAUAACUACUUUUGUACCGGUUUCCUCCAGCAUCUUCACAUGGUUCUUUGCCGUUGUAUUGGGAUUGAUUCGAAUUUUUCGCACCAAAGUACGUUCAUCUCUAGGAGACAGAACACGUCUCCUUCCUGAGCGGUAUGACGGCUGCGUGGUCCCGUGUUUAUACUUGCAUACUAUUGUUUGUACAGAUGAACGUGGUACCUUCAGGUGUUGGAAAAUUGCUCCCAAGGAUGAACUAGACUUAUUUUUCUGAGAUCUUGGCUGAUUUCUUUUGAUGUUCCCAUGAUGUCAAGCAAAUAGGCACUGAGUUUGAAGGUAGGCCUUGAAAUACAUCCACAGGUAUACGUCCAAUUGACUCUGGCUAAUUGACAUCAUUUAUCAGAAGCUUGUAAAGCCAUGACAUUUUCUGGAAUUUUCCAAGCUGUUUAAAGGUACAGUCAACUUAGUGUAUGCGAACUUCUGACCCACAGGAAUUGGGAUACAGUGAAAUAAUCUGUCUGUAAACAAUUGUUGGAAAAAUUACUUGGAUCAUGCACAAAGUAGAUGUCUUAACCGACUUGCCUAACCUAUAGUUUGUUAACAGGAAAUUUGUGGAAUGGUUGAAAAAUGAGGUUUAAUGACUCCAACCUAAGUGUAUGUAAACCUCCGACUUCAAUUGUACAUAUUUGAGCCUCUAGCUCUAUCAAAGCAAGAAACAGCAUUUCACUGUUGUCCUCAGUGUCUGUCUGUCUCUGUCUCGGUCGGUCUGUCUAAGAGUUUGCUGUAGAGAAUGGUGUGGACAGGGAGAGGAUUGUUAAGGACCUGAAGCAGAUGUCCCAGAAGGAGAGAAUUAGCUGCUGAGGAAGGAAUCACCAGAGCUAUCGGAGCUCAUUCAGGACUUGAAGUCCAAGAGCUGAACGACGAGCUACAGGGCCUUUUGGAAAUGGUCAAAGAUGGACGCAUCCCACCGGGAAAGGGUGCCAACUACCACACGACCAAACAGCAGCGUUAUCUAAAUUAAGUAUAUAUUUGAUUUGUAACAUAAAUCGCAUAAACAAUGCCAUUGAGAAUUGACUCACUUAUUGUUGUUUCUCUCCUGAGUUACUGCACAAACAUUAGUUUCUACCUCAUCCUGAAAGCAAAGCAUAUUCCCGCACACAACCACCCAGUGAUUGAAAGACUGAUUUACAGGAAUCUGAUAAAUUACAUGGGUGAGGUAGAUGCUUGGCUUGCCCCACAGCUGCGCCAGUUGCUUUCUGCAGGCCAGUAUGAGAUGGCUGCUAUGAAGCCAGGGAGUAGCAAGCAGAGCACCAACAACAAGAUGUCUGAAGAGGUUGUGGCUGAACCACCAUACUCUGACUUGGAUGAAGAGGCUGCCCUGCACUUCUACAGAGGAAUGGAGAGGCUGAAACUGAAUAGGACCUACAGGCUGAGGUGAAGGAUGAAGAGGAGUUGGAUCCAGAUACCAAGAGACGCAUUACCCACCAGGUACAGUGUCUCACCCUCUUGAGUAUUAUCCUUUCAACAUGUAGAAAUUAGAUACACACAAGUAUACAGCAGUAAUUAUUGAUUGUACAGCUUAGCCUUCAUGUACAAUAUUUACUUGUUACCAUGUCUCUUGUUUCCAUACUCAUUGUACAAAGCACAAUAUUAAGAGAACAUUUUCACCCAGUACUUCAAAUCAUGACCUUCAUCAGAUUAUUCUAGUACUUUAUAUGUUAGAGUAUUCCCUUCCCGGUUUAAACCUUUUGUCUAAUUUGUACAUGCUGCUCGAUCCUUUCCGCUAUUGGCCAAGAACAAAGGGUUUACACCGAAGAGGAAGACUGACCGCAAUCCCAGAGUCAAACAGAGAGAAUUUCAGACGAGCCAAGAUCCGCAUAAAGGGACAAGUUUGUAGACUACAUUUGAAACUUGAAGUUGCAGUGUAUAAAAUGUAUACAAAUCCAAUGUAUGAUAAGUGUUUUGCAGGCAUUACUUCCACCUCCUGCAGGCACAUCUUUCAGGACCUCUGAGGGGUAUACUACAAAGCAGAACCAAUGAGUUAGCCAGCUUACUUUGAUUAACAACCAGAAAUAACUGUUGAUUUUCUGAAUCAUUUAGAAAAAUAAACUUAGGUUGAGUUAAUUAGACCAUAGCCCAUUGCAAGCUUAGUUAUUUAUUAGUUCAGAAUAUUGAGGCAAGUUAUCUGGCUAACUCAUUGAUCCUGCUUUGUAGUGUGUAUGCUGAUAUGAUAUACAGUAUUUGAUAGCAAAAUUGACAACUUGUAUAAUUUAACUAGUGUCAAUUAUGGAUCAAAUUGAAUUCCAA